Molecule: ribosomal RNA, 407 nt
Filed under: uncultured bacterium
Lineage: Bacteria
Description: partial 16S ribosomal RNA
Rfam family: Bacterial small subunit ribosomal RNA
Source: RNAcentral
AUUGAACGCUGGCGGCAGGCCUAACACAUGCAAGUCGAGCGGAGCGGCUGACGGGUGAGUAAUGCCUAGGAAUCUGCCUGGUCGUGGGGGAUAACGUCCGGAAACGGGCGCUAAUACCUCCUACUAUCCGUUGAGCCUAGGUCGGAUUAGCUAGUUGGUGGGGUAAAGGCCUACCAAGGCGACGAUCCGUAACUGGUCUGAGAGGAUGAUCAGUCACACUGGAACUGAGACACGGGCCAGACUCCUACGGGAGGCAGCAGUGGGGAAUAUUGGAAAAUGGGCGAAAGCCUGAUCCAGCCAUGCCGCGUGUGUGAAGAAGGUCUUCGGAUUGUAAAGCACUUUAAGUUGGGAGGCGUUACCAACAGAAUAAGCACCGGCUAACUUCGUGCCAGCCGCCGCGGUAAUAC